CCAACGAAAGUUCUAAGACGCGUUUCGAUGCUUUGUGCCCUUGCUCUAGCAUCACGUUAUCGUCAAAAUGUCACAACAUGAUAGAUCUUCGCGCAACGAGUGUAACAUAACAACUAAGCUACACAUAUGGACAUUAUCAUAUACCUGAAUAGCAGUGCGGACAAUGCACCGAUCAAUGUUCAGGUAGUGCCAGAACUCUGGUGGAAUGGAGGGACCUUGUCAUGAAUGCCGAUGGUCUGAAGCAGGCCGAGACAUUGCAUAUGCUGCUGACAGGACUACCGACCUGAAGCAAAAGUAUUUUCAAGAUGACCUUGCAAUGGUUUGUCCACCAUACUAUGGCAUGGUCUACUAUCCACCACCACCGCCUUCGACGACAGUUUCUAAUUCAACCACAACAUUUUCUUUGAAAGGCUGGCAACCGUAGACAUUUGAAAAACAGGCAUCACCAAGAGAAGGCUUCUACACUGCAGCAGCAAGACCUGUGGUGUUCUACGCAUGGCAGCUGUUUUGAAUCACAGUUAUAUGCUGGCUCCUGGAAAAAAACCAGAAAACCACUUUAUUGGCUGCAUUGCUUAAACACUGUGAUGCAGUUUUGCAGCAUUUACCUGCGUCUUGCUUGAUUUACUGACAACAUGUGAUUCAUGCACUGUUUUGUCACUGCCACCAUCACCUCAUUGACCUGCAAACAAAUUUAUUUUGUUGCUUGGCUAGUCUUGUCAGUCUCUCAUUUACUUAUGCCAACUUUAUCCUACCUUACUGUGAGUAAACUAGCUUGUUUAACUGGUACUUUCCUACUCAUUUUUCUUGCAGCUUGCUUUCCUAGUGCUACUGCAGACAUGAAAUGCCAUGAAGUCACAGCUGCUAGCUUGCUAAUUUAUUAUUAAUUUUCUGACAAGGUUUAAAUUUUUCCGUCUACUUGGUAUUCUUAAGCCUGUUCAUGAAUGAUGCAGUGAUGCAGGCAGGGAGUUUUUUUUUUUUUCUGUGAAGUAAGGAAAUUAAUGGAGAUAGUGCAAAUCAAGCAUAUGCACUCUUCAUUCUUUUUUAACUAAAAAGGAAAGUGCAGGAACUCGCUUGCAGUGGGCCAGACAAAUGUGAAGAGCAUUCAUAUGGUCCCAUGUUUCUUUUUCUCCUCCAACUUUAUCUUCAGGGCCCCUAUUCACCUUACUUUGGAAGUCCUCGAACACCAUAUCGUUUCAAGGUGACAUGCUUCACUGCAGUUAUUAAUUUUUUUGUGGCUCCUCUUUUGUGCAUGUUCUUACUUUGAGCACUUUUUAUUUUUUUCUUGUAACUCCUGCUUUUAAUUUGCUGUUGCACAUUCUAGCAUCUGUAGCCUGCCAUGUAAGCAAAUGUGCAGACCAUAAAAGUUUUCUUUAUGGUAACAU
This is a long non-coding RNA of Rhipicephalus microplus (southern cattle tick), 1382 nucleotides long. The record is from RefSeq and is a predicted model, not a curated record. NCBI's taxonomy places the organism in Eukaryota, Metazoa, Arthropoda, Arachnida, Ixodida, Ixodidae.